Molecule: ribosomal RNA, 408 nt
Filed under: uncultured bacterium
Lineage: Bacteria
Description: partial 16S ribosomal RNA
Rfam family: Bacterial small subunit ribosomal RNA
Source: RNAcentral
GACGAACGCUAGCGGCGUGCUUAACACCUGCAAGUCGAACGGAGUGGCGAACGGGUGAGUAACACGUGGGUGCUCUGCCUUGCACUUCGGGAUAAGCUUGGGAAACGGAGUCUACUCCCGGAUAGUGCAAGAUGAGCUCGCGGCCUAUCAGCUUGUUGGUGGGUUAAUGGCAUACCAAGGCGUCGACUGGUAGCCGGCCUGGGAGGGUGUACGGCCACAUUGGGACUGAGAUACGGCCCAGACUCCUACGGGAGGCAGCAGUGGGGAAUAGUGCACAAUGGGCGGAAGCCUGAUGCAGCGACGCCGCGUGGGGGAUGAAGGCCUCCGGGUUGUAAACUCCUUUCGACAGGGACGCGGUACCUGGAUAAGAAGCACCGGCUAACUACGUGCCAGCAGCCGCGGUAAUUC